RNAcentral lists this ribosomal RNA (476 nucleotides) under uncultured bacterium. RNAcentral describes it as "SSU rRNA". It matches the Rfam family "Bacterial small subunit ribosomal RNA", at positions 26 to 518 of the family's 1533-position model. The record is from RNAcentral.
AGGACGAACGCUGGCGGCGUGCUUAACACAUGCAAGUCGAGUGGUAAGGCUCCUUCGGGAGUACACGAGCGGCGAACGGGUGAGUAACACGUGAGCAAUCUGCCCUUCACACUGGGAUAACCCCGGGAAACCGGGGCUAAUACCGGAUGCAACCACCGACGGCAUCGUCUGGUGGUGGAAAGUUCCGGCGGUGAAGGAUGAGCUCGCGGCCUAUCAGCUUGUUGGUGGGGUCAUGGCCCACCAAGGCGACGACGGGUAGCCGGCCUGAGAGGGUGACCGGCCACACUGGGACUGAGACACGGCCCAGACUCCUACGGGAGGCAGCAGUGGGGAAUAUUGGACAAUGGGCGAAAGCCUGAUCCAGCAACGCCGCGUGAGGGAUGGACGGCCUUCGGGUUGUAACCUCUUUCACCCACGACGAAGCGAAGUGGCGGUAGUGGGAGAGAAGCACCGGCCAACUACGUGCCAGCAGCCGC